Non-coding RNA from Schistosoma mansoni, 46 nucleotides. The record is from Rfam. NCBI's taxonomy places the organism in Eukaryota, Metazoa, Platyhelminthes, Trematoda, Strigeidida, Schistosomatidae.
GCACUGCUGAGGAGUCCCGUAAUAAGACGAAACGGCCGUCCAGUGU